Molecule: ribosomal RNA, 433 nt
Filed under: uncultured bacterium
Lineage: Bacteria
Description: partial 16S ribosomal RNA
Rfam family: Bacterial small subunit ribosomal RNA
Source: RNAcentral
AACGAACGCUGGCGGCAUGCCUAACACAUGCAAGUCGAACGAGACCUUCGGGUCUAGUGGCGCACGGGUGCGUAACGCGGGGGAACCUGCCCUUAGGUUCGGAAUAACUCCCCGAAAGGGGUGCUAAUACAGGAUAAUGUCUUCGGACCAAAGAUUUAUCGCCUUUGGAUGGGCCCGGGUUGGAUUCGGUAGUUGGUAGGGUAAAAGCCUACCAAGGCGACGAUCCAUAGCUGGUCUGAGAGGAUGAUCAGCCACACUGGGACUGCGACACGGCCCAGACUGCUACGGGGAGCAGCAGUGGGGAAUAUUGGACGAUGGGCGAAAGCCUGAUCCAGCCAUGUCGCGUGAGUGAUGAAGGCCUUAGGGUUGUAAAGCUCUUUUACCCGGGAUGAUAAUGACGGUACCGGGAGAAUAAGCUCCGGCUAACUCCGUG